This 406-nucleotide ribosomal RNA is filed under the name uncultured bacterium. RNAcentral describes it as "partial 16S ribosomal RNA". It matches the Rfam family "Bacterial small subunit ribosomal RNA", at positions 30 to 526 of the family's 1533-position model. The record is from RNAcentral.
AUUGAACGCUGGCGGCAGGCCUAACACAUGCAAGUCGAACGAGUGGCGGACGUGUGAGUAAUGUAUGGGAAAAUGCCUGAUGGAGGGGGAUAACUAAGGGAAACGGUAGCUAAUCCCGCAUACCAUCAGAUGUUCCCAGAUGGGAUUAGCUAGUAGUGCGGGUAAAGGCUCACUUAGGGGACGAUCCAUAGCUGGUGUGAGAGGAUGACCAGCCACAGGGUAACUGAGACACGGUCCAGACUCCUAAGGUAGGCAGCAGUGGGGAAUAUGGCACAAGGGGCGCAAGCCUGAUGCAGCAGUGCCUCGUGUAUGAAGAAGGCCUGCGGGGUGGAAAGUAUGUUCAGCGGGGAUGCGUUACCCGUAGAAGAUGCACCGGCUAACGCCGUGCCAGCAGCCGCGGUAAUAC